RNAcentral lists this ribosomal RNA (253 nucleotides) under uncultured bacterium. RNAcentral's name for it is "partial 16S ribosomal RNA". It matches the Rfam family "Bacterial small subunit ribosomal RNA", at positions 524 to 776 of the family's 1533-position model. The record is from RNAcentral.
UACGUAGGGUGCAAGCGUUGUCCGGAAUUAUUGGGCGUAAAGCGCUCGUAGGCGGUUUGUCGCGUCUGCUGUGAAAACUGGAGGCUCAACCUCCAGCCUGCAGUGGGUACGGGCAGACUAGAGUGCGGUAGAGGAGAUUGGAAUUCCUGGUGUAGCGGUGGAAUGCGCAGAUAUCAGGAGGAACACCAAUGGCGAAGGCAGCCCCCUGGGUCGACACUGACGCUGAUGCGCGAAAGCGUGGGGAGCAAACAGG